GACGAACGCUGGCGGCGUGCUUAACACAUGCAAGUCGAACGGAAAGGCCCUGCUUUUGUGGGGUGCUCGAGUGGCGAACGGGUGAGUAACACGUGAGUAACCUGCCCUUGACUUUGGGAUAACUUCAGGAAACUGGGGCUAAUACCGGAUAGGAGCUCCUGCUGCAUGGUGGGGGUUGGAAAGUUUCGGCGGUUGGGGAUGGACUCGCGGCUUAUCAGCUUGUUGGUGGGGUAGUGGCUUACCAAGGCUUUGACGGGUAGCCGGCCUGAGAGGGUGACCGGCCACAUUGGGACUGAGAUACGGCCCAGACUCCUACGGGAGGCAGCAGUGGGGAAUAUGGAACAAUGGGCGGAAGCCUGAUGCAGCAACGCCGCGUGCGGGAUGACGGCCUUCGGGUUGUAAACCGCUUUCGCCUGUGACGAAGCGUGAGUGAGGGUAAUGGGUAAAGAAGCACCGGCUAACUACGUG
This 468-nucleotide ribosomal RNA is filed under the name uncultured bacterium. RNAcentral's name for it is "partial 16S ribosomal RNA". It matches the Rfam family "Bacterial small subunit ribosomal RNA", at positions 28 to 507 of the family's 1533-position model. The record is from RNAcentral.